Molecule: long non-coding RNA, 854 nt
Filed under: Sorghum bicolor (sorghum)
Lineage: Eukaryota; Viridiplantae; Streptophyta; Magnoliopsida; Poales; Poaceae
Description: long non-coding RNA (SBIC_LNC006272)
Source: RNAcentral
UGGUGGAGGGGAACUAGAUGGUUGUGGUGGUGUAGCUUGGUAUGGAGGUGGACUAGGUUGACUAUAGGUGGGAGGUGCAGUGGGUGCACUUGGUGGUGGUGGAGGCAAAUUGUUGGUUGGAGGACUAGAUUGUGGUGGCAUGGGAGAUUUGUAUGGAGGCAUGGUAGGAGGGAUAGAGGGUGAGAGCGGUGGCUGGUUAUUUGGCGGAGGUGUGGUUGGGGUACUUGAAGGUGGUGGAGGGGAACUAGAUGGUUGUGGUGGUGUAGCUUGGUAUGGAGGUGGACUAGGUUGAGUGUAGGUUGGAGGUGCAGUGGGUGCACUUGGUGAUGGUGGAGGCAAAUUGUUGGUUGGAGGACUAGAUAGUGGUGGCACGGGAGAUUUGUACGGAGGCAUGGUAGGAGGGAUAGAGGGCGAGAGUGGUGGCUGGUUAUUUGGUGGAGGUGUGGUUGGGGUACUUGAAGGUGGUGGCAGGGAACUAGAUGGUUGUGGUGGUGUAGCUUGAUGUGGAGGUGGACUAGAAUGCAAUGGAGGUGGUUGACUAUAGGUUGGAGGUGCAAUGGGUGGACUCGACGGUGGUGGUGGCAAAUUGUUGGUUGGAGGACUAGAUUGUGGUGGCAUGGUAGGAGGGCUAGAGGGCGACGGGGUUGGUUGGUGAUUUGGUGGAUAUGUUGGAGGUGUGGUUGGGGUACUUGAAGGUGGUGGAGGGGAACUAGAUUGUUGUGGUGGUGUGGCUUGGUGUGGAGGUGGACUAGGUAUCAAUGAAGGUGGUUGACUAUAAGUUGGUGGUGCAAUCGGUGGACUUGAUGGUGGUGGAGGCGAAUUGUUAGUUGGAGGCUUGGCUGGAGGACUAGAUU